AUGGAUCUGGCAGCCCAGCUCGAUCAGGAGAGGGUCAACGCGCACGGGCGCGCUCGCUGCAGAGUGCAGACGAACAAGUCUCGGCACCCGGGACGGCAACGGCGACGUGGGAUGCUCACGCCGACGAUGGCUUGGCGAAGCAGGGGAGACUCGGGCAGCGCACGGGGUAGAGGAAGCAGAGGCCGCAGUAGGCAGACUUGGCGGCAGCAGCAGGUCCCGAAGGGGUCGACGGGGCUUGGACGCGGGGCUCUGGCAAGGUUGGGGAGGUCCGGCGCGCGAGGAACGGCGCAUGGAAGGACGGUUGGGCACGGAUCCAUGGCGCAGGAAGGGGGCUCCAUGGCGGUUGCUGCUGUGCUGGUCGCCGGGCAGAGGACGGCAGAGCACAGCGAAGGGGCCGGGAACGGGCAGGUUGGCUGCGGGGGAGGACCUGAACGCCGGAAUCCGAAGGAGCGGCGACUUGGCGGAGGCCGGCCGGAUCUGGAGCAUGGCUGUGGCGGCUAG
This 501-nucleotide ribosomal RNA is filed under the name Triticum aestivum (bread wheat). RNAcentral describes it as "partial small subunit ribosomal RNA". The record is from RNAcentral. Lineage: Eukaryota; Viridiplantae; Streptophyta; Magnoliopsida; Poales; Poaceae.